UACAGAGGUGGCAAGCGUUGUUCGGAAUUACUGGGCGUAAAGGGCGCGUAGGCGGCCAUCUAAGUCAGACGUGAAAUCCCCCGGCUUAACCUGGGAACUGCGUCUGAUACUGGAAGGCUUGAGUAUGGGAGAGGGAUGUAGAAUUCCAGGUGUAGCGGUGAAAUGCGUAGAUAUCUGAAGGAACAUCAGUGGCGAAAGCGACUUCCUGGACCAAUACUGACGCUCAUGUGCGAAAGCGUGGGGAGCAAACAGG
Molecule: ribosomal RNA, 253 nt
Filed under: uncultured bacterium
Lineage: Bacteria
Description: partial 16S ribosomal RNA
Rfam family: Bacterial small subunit ribosomal RNA
Source: RNAcentral